UCUCACUUCUCGUUGUUCGCGUAAAACCUGAGACUAGCAAUGUCUGUAGAAAGAGAAGAGCGCACCUAGAACUGAGGGAACAGAAUUAAACACAGCAGGGGACAAAAGGCACUUGGAAUUCAGUGUUACUUGAAUUCCCCAAAAAGCAGAAGAAAUUUGAGCACAAUUUUCAUCUUGUGAUGAAGGCAAAUGGAGUUACUGACGAACGAGACUGUUAACGUUGCUGGAUCAGAGGAACUAUCCUUUGCUUACAUACAAUCAGGUACAAGGAGAAAAACAGGCAUCAAACUGUGCUAAAGAUAUCUGAAGAAUAUCGCUCUCCUGGAAUGAAUGAAACAUCUGAGGGACACCUAUUGCUCGUGAAAAGCAAGGGAAACUUGUGGAUCGUGAGUAACAGAUUUGAGACUGCUGAGUUUAACAUACACAGUUGGAGGGCUGGUGGAUUCGCUGUUUUGAGACCAGACUGUAAUGGAGAUCUGAGAACCAAAACUGAAAACGUCUGCUGGCAGAGCUUGACUUAGAAGCCAAAAAGCAUGGUGAAUUUGUCAGGCUGCUGCUUUCUGAUGCCUCUAAAUUAACAAUAUUAAAUAAACAGAAAUUAAUCACCAGUAGCUCUGCUUGCAGAUCCUAGAAGGAAAAUAAGGCAGUCUGGUUGAGGUGGGUGCUUGUAAGUGAACUGGAAAUCUAUCUUUCCUGAAGAAUCCCUUCAUUGACUGAGCAGGGACCAACCUGAAGACAAAAGAGAUAUCAUGGCCUUCUUCCACAAAAGGAAGGGGCCGUGGAUUUGCCCUACUGGCAGGAACCAGCAGUUGGAUUGGGCUCGUGGGCUGUAGACCUGUUCCCCGGGCACCCAGGGCCCAAGCUUGGGAGGAGCUGGCAAGUCUGGCAGGAAAAGGGCUCAGAAGAGGCUACCCCAUGCCAUGGUCUGCAAGGACAGAAGAGAGCAGCUCCAAGAUGGAUGGUUAAAAUGCUCAGGCGAGUGAGCGGCUGCUGGCAGUGUGAAACCCCCAUCUCUCUUCUUGCUUGCACAGAGGUGCUUGCUGGUGUGUGCUUGUUUACCAGUCACCGUACUAAAGGUUUGAUGUAUAAACUCAGCCCUCAAAUUGCGAUCACUCACUGCUUAAGAAUACCACAGCUGUUUGCGGCAAGUUGGAUGUAUGUUGAAGCAUCUGGUGAAAUCAAAGCCUUUGGUGGGAGCACACUGAAAGGGCAAUUUGUACAGGGCUGCAGAGCUCUCCUCUCCUAAUCGACAGGAAAAAGCAACGCAUUUCAUAAGAGGAAACCUUUCCAAUGACUGCUGGAUUUGAGCUUGCUAUUUCCCAUAAUAAGGAUGAAGCAAAACAGGAUCUUGCUAAUGGCUGUGGAUAACUGGGCCCCUAUUACUGCAAGCACAGAGGUGCUGCUCAGUGCGUAACGAAGAGCUCAGUGUCCUGAGCAAAGCAUGCCAACGCCAUCCUCCUGCGCUGGGAUAUUUAUUUCUCCCCUUGCGCAAGAAAAACAUGGCAAUCUCAGCCUUCCCUUUGGAAAUCAAUGGCCAACAGAAAAGGACUGAAUUUGACAGCCACCCCAGGAGGUCUCCCUCCUGCAGGGAAGGGCACGGCGGGUGCUCCCGGCCGGCUCCAGCCGCCCGCCCUGAGGAGCCCCUUUGGUUCAGCCUCUGCUGUUGAACAGCUCUGUGGAUGUGCCAGGGAGAAGCGGAGAGGUUUGUCUUUUGCUCUAACUGAAGGCAGAUCCUGCAGACAAGUAAGACAGUGUCCUGCAGACACUGUCUUUCCUCCCCAGGGAGGCUGCCAUGUUCCAGCUCUCCUUUCUUUCCGCUUCGAUUCAUUGCCCUGCUGACAAGCGCUGAACUAGCAGCACCUUAAGCAACUUUUCCAUUGUUGGGCAAUUUAGGAGGAAAACUAUUUUCUUCCUCAAAAGUAAGAGCAUUUCAACUCCCUUCAGAGCUGUUAGCCACAAAAUGUGUCAGUUCGGUCUUCCCGGCUUACCGCAAUGGGGUAAAACAGUUUUGGCCUCACCUGAGUUUCUCUUCUGAGCAUGGACGGGCUAGUUUGGGGGCUUUGAUGGGAGGCAGCAACCGGCAGCGAGCAGCACGACGGCGCCGGAGCUCCCGGCUCGCUGUGACAAACCCCACCAGCCAGCUUAUUAAUAUCUUCUUCCUUCAGUGUGAUCAUGACUUGGGCAGAGUCUUGUGUCUGUUGAUCAUCUAUCAUCUAAACAGCCCAGUUAAUUUGGCAGAGCAACAAAACUGCUUUCACUGGGAGCAAGGCUCUGUGAUCUGGGAUUUUUUUGGUGGGGGGUGGGGAAGGGAGUCAAUCAGGCUAUUUAAAAAACAAAACAAAACAUUUCAGUCUAGCAACCGGUGACUUGCAGUUCUACAGUUGUCAUAAUGUGGGUUGUUACUCUUGUACCUGCUUUGUGUGGACAUACAUGCUUGCACCUAAUUUUUUUAUGACGCUUUAGCUACAAAGUAGAAAAAUCAUAACUUGCUUUCUGCCAUUACAAGACCAUGUGAUCCCUUUAAAUGCCAAAUAAAAUAAAACAUCCCCUCUGUAUUUCCUAGGUGGUGGAGAGUGGGAGGUGCUUUGAAUUCAAGUGAGUAGAGAUGCUUAGCUGGGGGUGUGCGUGCGUGCAUGUGCGUCCUUGUUGUUUGGCUUGAAUUCGGCGCUCAGAGGGAAAUGGGUCCUGAUGGAGAUGUUGGGCUGGUGGGACCAGGGUGUAGCAGACUGCUCCUUUCAGGUUGUGUCCCUGCUCUCGCCGUGGCCGGGCUGCAGGCUACGGCUGGGCGCUGCGUUGGGUUGGGAUGAGCUGCCCCCGGCUGCCGCGGGGCUCAGGCCAACAGCAAGAGCUAACGUAACGCCCCGACGUUCCCUCGCUGGGACAGCCGGUCCCCGCGGUCGCAGACAGCUGAGUUCACGUCAGUGAAAAUAUUGCAGGAAAGAGCUUGGUUUUCUUCACACGUGUUGAAAGUGCUUGAGUUGUUUGCUAGAAGAGCCUGUACAAAUCACACGCGUAAUUCAGCCGCUGCCGUACAAACCUUCCCUUCAGCAGAAGCUUCUUUGGAAAGCGCGAGCUGAUCGCAGCAAACUUUGACCCAAAUGUGCCGCAGCCCGGAGCCCCAAACGGCAGGUUUUAAACUUUUGCCGUCACUUCCUUCUGAGAUGCAGAGUGAAUCUAGGUCACCCUGCUUGUUUGUUUUUAAUGAGGCUAACUCUGAUUUCGUUCAUGUUGUGUCCUCGAGUUUGAGAGGGAAAAAACCAGAGAUUUGGAACGGCAAAUUAGCCUCAAAGUCAUUCUUUUUAAAUCACACACAUCUCUGCGCAAGGAAGUGGUUUGAUGUUUCGUUCCAAGGCAACGUUGGCAGUGUCAUUUAAUAUUCAAAGUACAGAAGGAAUACAAAAUUUCCCCUUUUUCCCUUUUCACUGAGAUUUUAGCGUUAAGCUGUUGAGCUGAAUGAACAGGCCUGUGUCUAGGGCUUCUUCAGUGAUUAACAAAAAGGCCAAUUCUGGGCGAGCGAACUGUGCGCUCUGCCUGAGGCUGGUACGUCAGUUAAAGGGAAGCGGCUGAACACGAGGGUAUUAGUUUGUCUCGAGCUUCUCGGCGAGCGCGAUGGCGUAAAUAGAUGCGUUUGUUUGCUGAUCUCUCUCUUG
Struthio camelus australis is the source of this 3650-nucleotide long non-coding RNA. RefSeq lists it as uncharacterized. The record is from RefSeq and is a predicted model, not a curated record. Lineage: Eukaryota; Metazoa; Chordata; Aves; Struthioniformes; Struthionidae.